RNAcentral lists this ribosomal RNA (553 nucleotides) under Doryrhamphus excisus (bluestripe pipefish). RNAcentral's name for it is "partial 16S ribosomal RNA". It matches the Rfam family "Bacterial large subunit ribosomal RNA", at positions 1816 to 2578 of the family's 2925-position model. The record is from RNAcentral. Lineage: Eukaryota; Metazoa; Chordata; Actinopteri; Syngnathiformes; Syngnathidae.
CGCCUCUUGCAUAAAACCAAAUAUAAGAGGUCCCGCCUGCCCUGUGACUAUAAGUUUAACGGCCGCGGUAUUUUGACCGUGCGAAGGUAGCGCAAUCACUUGUCUUUUAAAUGAAGACCUGUAUGAAUGGCACGACGAGGGCUUAACUGUCUCCUUCCCCUAGUCAAUGAAAUUGAUCUGCCCGUGCAGAAGCGGACAUAAGACCAUAAGACGAGAAGACCCUAUGGAGCUUUCAGACGCACAAGAAGACCAUGUUAAUUAGCCCUAAUAAGGGAGUAAACCAAAUGCCACCUCCUUGAAUGUCUUUGGUUGGGGCGACCACGGGGAAACAUAAAACCCCCACGAGGAAAGAGAAUAAAACCUCAAAACUAAGAACCGCAGUUCUAAGUAUCAGAACUUCUGCCCUUAAGAUCCGGCAAGCCGAUCAACGAACCAAGUUACCCUAGGGAUAACAGCGCAAUCCCCUUUUAGAGUCCCUAUCAACAAGGGGGUUUACGACCUCGAUGUUGGAUCAGGACAUCCUAAUGGUGCAGCCGCUAUUAAGGGUUCGUUU